AUUGAACGCUGGCGGCAGGCCUAACACAUGCAAGUCGAGCGGUUGACAGGAGCUUGCCCCCUGAUUCAGCGGCGGACGGGUGAGUAAUGCCUAGGAAUCUGCCUAUUAGUGGGGGACAACGUGUCGAAAGGAACGCUAAUACCGCAUACGUCCUACGGGAGAAAGCAGGGGACCUUCGGCACUUGCGCCUACAGAUGAGCCUAGGUCGGAUUAGCUUGUUGGUGGGGUAAGGGCUCACAAAGGCGACGAUCCGUAACUGGUCUGAGAGAAUGAUCAGUCACACUGGAACUGGGACACGGUCCAGACUCAUACGAGAGGCAGCAGUGGGGAAUAUUGGACAAUGGGCGAAGCCUGAUCCAGCCAUGCCGCGUGUGUGAAGAAGGUCUUCGGAUUGUAAAGCACUUUAAGUUGGGAGGAAGGGUUGUAGAUUAAUACUCUGCAAUUUUGACGUUACCGACAGAAUAAGCACCGGCUAACUCUGUGCCAGCCGCCGCAGUAA
This 499-nucleotide ribosomal RNA is filed under the name uncultured bacterium. RNAcentral describes it as "partial 16S ribosomal RNA". It matches the Rfam family "Bacterial small subunit ribosomal RNA", at positions 30 to 523 of the family's 1533-position model. The record is from RNAcentral.